This 385-nucleotide ribosomal RNA is filed under the name uncultured bacterium. RNAcentral's name for it is "bacterial SSU rRNA". It matches the Rfam family "Bacterial small subunit ribosomal RNA", at positions 29 to 396 of the family's 1533-position model. The record is from RNAcentral.
AACGAACGCUGGCGGCGUGCCUAACACAUGCAAGUCGUGCGAGAAAGUUCCUUCGGGAGCGAGUAAAGCGGCGCACGGGUGAGUAACACGUAGGUAACCUGCCCCCCAGUCUGGAACAACUAGAGGAAACUCUAGCUAAUGCCGGAUGAGACCACGAUCCCUUCGGGGGUUGCGGCCAAAGAUGGCCUCUACUUGUAAGCUAUCGCUGAGGGAUGGGCCUGCGGGCCAUUAGCUUGUUGGUGAGGUAACGGCUCACCAAGGCUGUGAUGGCUAGCUGGUCUGAGAGGAUGACCAGCCACACUGGGACUGAGACACGGCCCAGACUCCUACGGGAGGCAGCAGUGGGGAAUAUUGCGCAAAUGGGCGAAAGCCUGACGCAGCGACG